Molecule: long non-coding RNA, 755 nt
Organism: Calidris pugnax (ruff)
Lineage: Eukaryota; Metazoa; Chordata; Aves; Charadriiformes; Scolopacidae
Exons: 3
Source: RefSeq, a predicted model, not a curated record
GAAAUCUGAACUAUGUGGGCAGAGGAGCUGUACUGGAUAGCUUGUUGGAACAGUAUGGAGCAGGAAAGUAAAGUGAAGCACUUUCCGCCUGUAAUGUCUCCUUGUUUUCCUUGGCCCUGGCAUUCACCCAACUCCCUGGAAGACCUGGACUCUGUAUCAUAGACAACUUGUCUGCGGAAGACCCUACCGUCUGACAGCCUGACAUGGCAGGAAGAUACAGCACAUCACAAAUUCCAUGUCUUUCCCUGUUAGUCCAACAGGAAGCAGACCACAGCCUCGGACACUCAAAAUGAAGAAACAGAGAAAAUGGGCAAACUUGUUGCCUGAAGUGUGUGGAGGCAGAAGUAGCCAGACUGUGAAGCACACGGAUGCCACCGUAGUAGGUGCUGGAUAUUUUCAUACCCAUUUCCAUACCCACUAGUGGGCACAAAAGAUCCAUCCAAGGCAGUUCACCACUGCCAGUGAAGAAUAACUCAAGAGAGGCCGUAAGGGUGUGAUAGUUGGUGUCCAUCUUCCCUGGCGUUGCGCACAAGCACGGGGGCUGGCCAGACCUUUUGGGCACACGCACCUUGGUGCUUGUCAACGUGGGGUUUGACAGUGUGAAUGAAGUUGAAUAAAUCAGAUGAAGGUGAACGAAGGCGAGGGAACUGAGUGAGAUGCGCACAUACUGAAAUGCAACUUCUGCAGCUUAACUGGAGGCAGAUGGAUCUUGAUAAAGGAUUUUGCCCUGCCUGACGUAUCUGCAGUCCGAACGU